Molecule: long non-coding RNA, 432 nt
Filed under: Brassica napus (rape)
Lineage: Eukaryota; Viridiplantae; Streptophyta; Magnoliopsida; Brassicales; Brassicaceae
Description: long non-coding RNA (BNAP_LNC024545)
Source: RNAcentral
UAGUUCAUGAAGGUAAAACCUCUGUCUUUGAUCUUUUGAAUUGGAUAAAUACUUGAUCUUUGCUCUGUUGAAUUGGUUAAACCGUUGUUUAUAUUGGUUGGUGUUUUGUGAGUUCAGUUGCGAUUGUAUUAGAAAUUUAUUGUUGUCUGAAAUGAAUUUUAUUGCUGUCUUGAAUUGGAAAAGCAUGUUUGGUUAACUUUCUGUUUGAGUUCUUGUUCUUGAACCGUAAUAAAUUGCAUUAUGUUUGAACGAUAUAGGAGGUGUAGUGUAAUGAAUGCGUUAGGUUAGGGUUGUAUGAAGAUAAUAAAUUAAAAGUACGGUUGUGUUAAGAUAAUAAAUUGACGUUUUGGUUUGAUAGAUAUGGAUGGUGUAGUGUGAUAAUUGUGUUAGAUAUAUGUCCACUCGGGUUUGGUUGUGAUCAAUGUUUCUCUU